This 253-nucleotide ribosomal RNA is filed under the name uncultured bacterium. RNAcentral's name for it is "partial 16S ribosomal RNA". It matches the Rfam family "Bacterial small subunit ribosomal RNA", at positions 524 to 776 of the family's 1533-position model. The record is from RNAcentral.
UACAGAGGGGGCAAGCGUUGUUCGGAAUUACUGGGCGUAAAGGGCGCGUAGGCGGCCUUCUAAGUCGAACGUGAAAUCCCUGGGCUCAACCCAGGAACUGCGUCCGAUACUGGGAGGCUUGAAUCCGGGAGAGGGAUGCGGAAUUCCAGGUGUAGCGGUGAAAUGCGUAGAUAUCAGGAGGAACACCGGUGGCGAAGGCGGGUCUCUGGGCCGUAACUGACGCUGAGGAGCGAAAGCGUGGGGAGCGAACAGG